This 359-nucleotide ribosomal RNA is filed under the name uncultured Myxococcales bacterium. Its description in RNAcentral is "partial 16S ribosomal RNA". It matches the Rfam family "Bacterial small subunit ribosomal RNA", at positions 479 to 837 of the family's 1533-position model. The record is from RNAcentral. Lineage: Bacteria; Pseudomonadati; Myxococcota; Myxococcia; Myxococcales.
CCCCGGAGAAAGCCCCGGCUAAUUCUGUGCCAGCAGCCGCGGUAUUACGGGGGGGGCAAGCGUUUUUCGGAAUUACUGGGCGUAAAGGGCGCGUAGGGGGUCUUUUAAGUCGGACGUGAAAUCCCCCGGCUCAACCGGGGAACUCCGUCCGAAACUGGGGGGCUUGAGUUCGGGAGAGGGAAGUGGAAUUCCAGGUGUAGCGGUGAAAUGCGUAGAUAUCUGGAGGAACACCGGUGGGGAAGGCGGCUUCCUGGGCCGACAUUGACGCUGAGGCGCGAAAGCUAGGGGAGCAAACGGGAUUAGAUACCCCGGUAGUCCUCGCCGUAACCGAGGAGCGCCUGGUGUGGCGGGUAUCGACC